Molecule: ribosomal RNA, 465 nt
Filed under: Vreelandella stevensii
Lineage: Bacteria; Pseudomonadati; Pseudomonadota; Gammaproteobacteria; Oceanospirillales; Halomonadaceae
Description: partial 16S ribosomal RNA
Rfam family: Bacterial small subunit ribosomal RNA
Source: RNAcentral
CCUACGGUGGGCUGCAGUGGGGAAUAUUGGACAAUGGGCGAAAGCCUGAUCCAGCCAUGUCGCGUGUGUGAAGAAGGCCUUCGGGUUGUAAAGCACUUUCAGUGGGGAAGAAAGCCUUGGGGCUAAUACCCUCGAGGAAGGACAUCACCCACAGAAGAAGCACCGGCUAACUCCGUGCCAGCAGCCGCGGUAAUACGGAGGGUGCGAGCGUUAAUCGGAAUUACUGGGCGUAAAGCGCGCGUAGGCGGUCUGAUAAGCCGGUUGUGAAAGCCCCGGGCUCAACCUGGGAACGGCAUCCGGAACUGUCAGGCUAGAGUGCAGGAGAGGAAGGUAGAAUUCCCGGUGUAGCGGUGAAAUGCGUAGAGAUCGGGAGGAAUACCAGUGGCGAAGGCGGCCUUCUGGACUGACACUGACGCUGAGGUGCGAAAGCGUGGGUAGCAAACAGGAUUAGAUACCCUUGUAGUC